Molecule: unclassified non-coding RNA, 257 nt
Filed under: Ascomycota sp.
Lineage: Eukaryota; Fungi; Ascomycota
Description: partial contains small subunit ribosomal RNA, internal transcribed spacer 1, and 5.8S ribosomal RNA
Rfam family: Eukaryotic small subunit ribosomal RNA (bases 1-47)
Source: RNAcentral
AAAGUCGUAACAAGGUUUCCGUAGGUGAACCUGCGGAAGGAUCAUUACAAAUCAGUGAUUGAGGUGGGGAUGGGGGGAGGAUGUAAACAGUGUUAAUGAUCAUGAUCAUGAUGAUGUUUAUGUCCCACCCAUCGCCGUUAGCACGAGGAUACGCCCCUGGUGGUGUAGCCUCGAUGUUUGCCCGCGUGCGUGUUGGACAGAGUUAUGCAGUUAUUUUGAACCACAGACAACUUUUAACAAUGGAUCUCUGGGCUCUU